AGAAAAGAAAAGAAAAGAAAAGAAAAGAAAAGAAAAGAAAAGAAAAGAAAAGAAAAGAAAAGAAAAGAAAAGAAAAGAAAAGAAAAGAAAAGAAAAGAAAAGAAAAGAAAAGAAAAGAAAAGAAAAGAAAAGAAAAGAAAAGAAAAAAGAAGCUAAGAAGAGGUAUGUAGAUCACCUCUGUAGAUUCACCCAGCCAAAGGGUUUCUGCAUCAGAAAGAUGGGAAGCAAGAAGCCAAGGUGCUGGAGAAGAAUGUGGACAGUGCCAAGAGGUUCCCGACCUAACCUAAGCAAGAGAUUUUUUCUUUCUUUUUUUUUUUAAUUUUUAUUUUUUUUCACCUUUCCUUUUCUGGAUUGUUUUCCUCCACAGAGUUCAAAGCUGUCACUCCAGUCAGAAAUGAACACCUGGAAUUGACUGUCACUGGGAUUUAAAAUUUUCAAACACCAAAGGAAAGAGAGGGAAGAAAUUGGAAUAAGGCCAUGGUGUAAAAGAUACAUGGUAACUUCCUGAAAUGUCUAAUGAAUAUUUUCCCUGAGUACCUUGACAGUUUUGAAGUGUAAGGGGGGUUUACAACGCCAUACAAGGAUUGUUUGUUCUAGGCACAAUAAGUUUAUUAAAAUGAGGUUCUGAUUAAAAUGAAAGGGUCUGGCUCAUUUGAAAUAUUAAUUUACAACUUGAAUUCUGCAGUCUGCCUGCAAGGGUCUCCCUGCAUGAUCAGGGCUAUGCUUGUUAAGUAGGAAAGCAUUGUUGCAUGUAAAGCCAACUUUUUUGCUUUUAAUGUUGUCUGAUCUAUUUCUCUAAGCUAGCCAGGUCUGUUGAGCUUCAGGGCAAAAUGAAAAGUUUCUCUGCUAGUUGGACUAAGGAUAAGUAUAUGGUUUCUGUUGGAAGGGUGAAGGGAGAUGGAAAAAUGGGUUAUAUGGAAUAUGGGGUAGAGUUAUUUGGAGGUUAUCUUCCCUACUGAUUCUCUUACUUGUCCCUGGUACUACCACUUGAAGGAUGUCUGUCCAUUAACUUUCAUUACUGACAGCCACAGCACAAAUAGUGAGACAGGAGACCAGCUACAUAUAAAUUGGAUUGACUAUAUCAAAUAAAGAAUUUUUAUAUCAUUUCUAUGACUAACCC
This 1120-nucleotide long non-coding RNA is filed under the name Anser cygnoides (Swan goose). RNAcentral's name for it is "lncRNA (ENSACDG00005019325.1)". Lineage: Eukaryota; Metazoa; Chordata; Aves; Anseriformes; Anatidae. The record is from RNAcentral.